Non-coding RNA from Potamilus streckersoni, 84 nucleotides. The record is from the annotation of a GenBank genome assembly. NCBI's taxonomy places the organism in Eukaryota, Metazoa, Mollusca, Bivalvia, Unionida, Unionidae.
UCUCUGGUAGGAUAAUUGGUUAGAGCAUCUGCCUCAAAUGCAGGAGGUCACAGGUUUGAAUCCUGGCUGAGUCAUACCAAAGAC